Molecule: long non-coding RNA, 5498 nt
Organism: Spodoptera frugiperda (fall armyworm)
Lineage: Eukaryota; Metazoa; Arthropoda; Insecta; Lepidoptera; Noctuidae
Exons: 2
Source: RefSeq, a predicted model, not a curated record
AAACCGUUUUUCUUAAAUAUGAGGACAAAGAGAAAGUUGCUGAUGUACCAGCGGUAUACCUUCAGCCAGUAUGCUCCAAGAUACUUUUAUUGUUCGAAAAAGGGAUUUGGCUGCAAAGCCGCACUUGUGCUCGACAAUGAGGGAUCAUUGCUUGUUAUGAAGAACUCCCAUAACCAUGAACCACCGAAAUACACGUGUAUUAAUGGCGUAUAUAUUAAAAUAUAAAAAAAGAUACUGGCACUUAGAUAGUCAUCAUCACCAUCGGAUCUUCAAGUUUUACUGGAGCAAUAUCUCCGAGGGCAGUAAUUUUACAAUAUGUGCUUUUACUUUGGAAGACAAAUAUUUGUGCCGCAUCAGUACAAUCCACUCUGUCUAUCUGUGCUUCAUUUCUGAACAAAAUGACUUAGUACGUAAUCAAUCUGUAAAUAUAUUAUUAAUUUUAUUGAAUGCUACAGCAAGAGUAUGGAAUAUAUUUACUGUUAAAUAAAGGCCUCCUCCUUUAGUCGUAGCCACUUAGAGCGCCUUCACAUUAACGUUUGUCCAGCGUAGGCGUUCGAUAAACGUAUGUGCUAAUCUUGUUUUUUGUAGUUAUCUUUGUGUUUGUACGUGCUAGUCUCGGAAACGGCUUAACCGAUUUGUGUGCAGCUUUAUUGUGUUGUGAAACGUACAAUAUGUAUUUUUAAUCAUGUAAAGAAUUAUAGGACAUAUAGGAUUUAGAAUAUAAUAGAAUAGAAUAACCCACCUAUGUAUCGUAUUUUAGUAAAUAAUUGCGUCUUAAUAUAUUGCUUUUAUUUAUCAACCUAUUAGAAUAUGACGAUAAUAUAAGUAAGUGAUAUCCAAAUGUUCCCGCAUCUCAAUUAUGACCCCGUUUUUUUAAAAACCUUUACUUAAAACAGAACGAAUUGGCAUUCUCUAGUCAUGACGGCGGGGCUUCGAAACUUCGUAAUUAUACCAAUUUGACAUUAUUAACGGGAUGAUAUCAAUAACUUGAUCUCUUGAGGAAAAUGUACUAAUAUAAAGUAAUACUAAAAUGAUUUUACUCUUUACAGCCAAUGUGAAGUUCAUACAACUAUUGGGCAAUAAGAUACUGUUAAUGGUGGAGAAUUUUACAUUUUCGCAGUAUAAGCCACGUUACUACUAUUGUUCGCAAAAGUUUAAGGGCUGUAAGGCUAGACUAGUGCUGAAUAAAGAUAAGACUCAGAUCAUCUCCAUGUAUAAUGAACAUGACCAUGUUCCUCCUGUCUAUAGACAGAUGCAUAAUGGACUUUAUUUUAAAGUUUAAGAUAAAGGCUUACCACCUAUCUCAGAGUCAUUUAAUGGUUACUUAACCCAGUCCUUAGCAAUUAUUUUCGGAAUAAAAUCGUUACUAAGGAGUAGUUUAAGUAAACAUUAAAUGCCUCUGAGUACGGCAGUUAAUGUUUAUUUCAGUGAUGCCAAAUAACUUAUUUUUUAUUUUGAUAGAUAGUAAAAGAAAGUGUUUUUGUGGAUGUUAGUAGUGAAUAGAAUCGUGAUUAUGAGUUUGAAUGUAAAGUGUGCCAUGUGAAUAUGUGUAUUUUAUUCUUAAGAAAAUUUAUUUAUGUGUAAAUAAAUCGUAAGAGUGGUUCCAAUAGCAAACAGCAAUUUGUUUAUUUUAUUUAAACCUAAAACGUAAGCGUCAAACUAAAACGUUGAGUUAUCUGUACCCUUAGUAUGAGUUAGCAUUACGUUUAAAGUAAUCGAAAGAAGAACGCGCUCUGUUUGGCCGGCUGGAAUAAACCAACCAAUCAGAGCGCCGAGCGCGCUCUCGUUUCGAUUACUUUAAACGCAUGGAAAUGGAAAGAGUUUGUGUAAGUGUCAAAAAACAUUACUUAUCUAUAGUUUAUUUUUUAUUUUUAUAUUAACUAUAGGUUCACGCUAAAAAAAAAGAAUAAAAUAAUAAUAAUAGUUAAAAUCGAAUAGAAAGACAAAAUGCGCACCUAGAAUUGAUGUUACAACCAUCUUGUUUCUAGGUCCAUACUGUGGUAUUACCGUGAAAAUUGAAAACAUGAAUACGAAAAAUUGUCCAAAAAAGAAAUUGGACAAGUCCAGCCCCGCUUAUGUUAGACAAAGGCAAUUAGCGAAUGCAAGAAAACGCAUAUAUCUGGACAAUUUAACGCCAGAACAGAAGGAAAUAAAGAAGGCAAAAGAUAGAGAAUAUUAUCACGAGAAAAAGAAGAAAAUGACUCAAUCGAGAUCUAUAUACAAUUUGACAGAAGAAGCACAACUUAAGUUACGGGCUCAAUGGAAAGAAAAUACUAAAAAAUACAGACAAAGAUGUAAAAUUGAACAAAAUUUUGAUACUGAUACUACUGAUUAAGAUUUCCGGAGCUGCGGACUACCUAGCGGUUUAUCGGGGCUCCGGCUCGAAGAGCAGGAGUAGGAACGGUGUGGAUUUUAGUCAGUAAGAGUCUGACACUUAUCAAGUUAUCACCCAAGGCGGGAGAACAUUGCAUGAUUAUACCCUCUCGAAAAAUACUGGUUAGAUUUUAAACAUUAUAACUUAAUUAAUGGUAUCCUUAUUCUUGGUAUAAUAAACCAUGAUUAUAAAACUAAUAUCUUAUACUCGUACUUAUUGUAUAAAGCUGAAGAGUUUAAUAAUUGCUAAUGUCCGGAAUUACAGCUCCGAUUUAAUAAUUAUUUUAGUCUUGGAUAGUCCAUUUAUCGAAGAAAGUUAUACGUUAUACAACACCACGCUAUGGAACCGAGCAGAACGGAGGAAACCCUCUGGAAAAAACUAGUUAAAAACAUUAAAGUAAAGUUUAUAAAUCUCGCAGCUAAUAAGAGAGUGUUAAUGGCCGAUGGGUAUACCUUCGCCCAAACGACUCCGAGACACUAUUACUGUUCUAAAAAAGGCAAGGGGUGCAAAGCAAGAAUAUUUUUAAAUAAGGACGACACUCAAAUUAUCUACUUUAAUAACGAACAUAAUCAUAAUGCUCCAGUAUAUAAGCUUACUAGUAAGGGGUAUUAUGUUAAGGUUUCUGGGUAAAUUGCCCUUUUUAUAUAGGCCCCAUUACUUACUUACUACUAAAGUUUGGGGAGGGGUCCCCAAACUUUUGAAUCCCAAAAUCCUCAAUUCCCUAACACUAAAAAAAUCGGCAUCGUGUUUGUAAGUUCCUCUAGUGUUAUGGACACCCGUCCAUGGGCGGCUCCAUAAAAAAUAUACCUACAGUAAAAUACUAAUCUUAAGGGCAGCUCGCCGUCCGAACAGAACCAGACCCGUGCGUACGGCGCGUCGCUAAGAGCCAUCAGACCACUACAGAUGGGGCCCAGUAGGUCUGUGGCUUACCCGAGUCUGUGUACUAUCUAGCAGCUAACCAAAGUUCUGGUGCGAAAUACAGUAGUAGGAACGGGCUGGUUUCUAGUCAGUAAGAGGCUGACACUCCCUCUCGCCUCACUCACUCACAGGCGGGAGAUCUUUGAAUGAUUUUCGCCCUCAAAAAGUGUGGGUGAUGUUAAAUUAGGACAAUUAAAAAGUAUUUUAAAACCUUGUCAAUUACGAGUUGUAAUAAUAUAUUUCAUUUUUCUUACGUAGAAUAUGAAAUAAAAGCUUUUUAUGGCAUAGUGUUUGGUCUAAAUUAGAUGUAAAUUAAUACUUGAAUAAUACGUAACGAUUCUCGGUUCUUUUGAUUGGAAAUAAAGCUUUGUAUUGAUCAACUAUUGUUUUCUUAUCGAAACUCCUUACGUAAUGAAAUUAUCUCCAUACCCUAACGUUCAAUAGGACAUACACCUUAAUAGGACCAUAUAUUUUUAAUUAUUAUGUUUUUCGGCUUACUCACGUAACUGUUUGACGAUCCGCUCGUCUAGUUUCAAGCCACAGUAGGGACUCCUAUUGAUGAGUCGUGUUGCACAAUUUUGUGACAGUCGCCGCUUCGUGUGAUGCGGAAUUUUGCUUGUGAAUAUGAACCCAUAGCGUGGCUUGAAAAUAGUCGAGUUCCUCGUUAAUUUAGUAUGUCUCACUAAAGUUGUAAUAUUUUUUUUUGUUACAGAAUUUAAGUUCAUAUCGACUGGUACAAAAAACAACUUGAUGAUGAUAGGUAACUAUACGUUUUCACAAAUGAACGGCGGAAGAAAUUGGUACUGUUCACAGAAGACCACUUUGAAAUGCAAGGCUCGGGUCACCAUGAAUGUGAAAAAGGGAAAGAUAUCGUCCUAUUUCAGUGACCAUAAUCAUGAACCAAAGAAAUACGUGGUGGCUCAUAGCGGAAAAUAUCAUUUCUUUUAAAAGUGUAUUUUAAAUUAACUAAAAAUCAAGGUUUACUAACGUACAUUAAUUGAGAAAAUCUCUACUAUUUUAGAGUCACAGAAGGACUCUACAUCAUGAGCAGGGGGACUCAGACGCGGCGACGUCGCGCCGCCUACUCUCCUACUGUAGCUUAGCUUUUCUCCAUUAAUGUACGUGAGUACGAUAGUUAUUAUAAAAAUAUUUGUACUUAGUGUAUUUUAACUUGUAAGCACAUUUUGCUGUCGUUUACCUACUGUAAGCUAACCUAAACCUAACCUAAAUCUAACCUAAACCUAACCUAAAUCUAACCUACACCUAAACUAUAGCCUUUGUAUCGUUUAGUCAUAGGAUCGAAUACUAGUAUGUGGUAAAGGCAUUUGUCAGAUUUUAGUUACAGAUCAUGUUUUAUUGUUAACUAUACAACUUUUGCGGUACAUGCAGCAUUUUGUGAUGUUGUUGAGUGCUGAUAAUGUCACCACAAUUCUAUAGUACCUUAGGAAUGCUAUGAUAAUUUCCCGUGAAUUGAUUUUAUUCAGUAAUUCCUUUGCUUCACUUUAGUAGUUUCACGUUAGCGAUCUACAAGCGUACUUGAAGCGGUGCGGUGACACGCGAAUUCAACGCGAUGCGGUGUGACCAAGCCAAUUGACCGCUCACCGCAUCCCACGUGCGGUUGGUCACGUAGGCGCCACGUCAAUACAUUUUGACAGUUUGUUGAUUUCGCGCCGGUACGGUGCGGCGCGAAAUCAACCGCUUCGCGUUCGCUUCUAGAUCGCUCAAGCAAGACGUCGCGUUAGUUGACUGGAUUUCGCGAUUGUGAACCGAUGUUGCAGUGUUUCUUUCUACUGGACUUUUGCAAUAUAUAAUGCAAUGCAUAAAAUUAGAAUAAAAAGUACAUAAUGUCAUACUUAAUAAUUAAUAGUAUGUAAAACACUAGAAAAUAGGCAUACCUGUACAUUAUAUACUGACGUAGAUGUAAGAAUUUGUAAGAAAAAUCACUUGAUUUGACUUAUCAUUUUGAUGUCAUAUUUGUUUUGUUUUUAUUAUUACUUAAUUUUAUAAUUUCGAUCUUAAACUGAAAUACUAAUAAGAUUAUUCAAAUAAUCGGUUGUAUUUUUUUAUAAUCUACCAUUGUUUGCCUAGAAAAGACAUAUCUUCCACCUGAUCUAACAACUUUGGUAUUAUACAUGUAAACUUAUGCAAAAUCAACGUUUUUUAAAUACACAUUUCUUGUUUAAUAAAAUUUAAAUAUUGUUUUAGA